RNAcentral lists this transfer RNA (73 nucleotides) under Camelus bactrianus (Bactrian camel). It matches the Rfam family "tRNA". From Rfam's summary of the family: Transfer RNA (tRNA) molecules are approximately 80 nucleotides in length. Their secondary structure includes four short double-helical elements and three loops (D, anti-codon, and T loops). Further hydrogen bonds mediate the characteristic L-shaped molecular structure. tRNAs have two regions of fundamental functional importance: the anti-codon, which is responsible for specific mRNA codon recognition, and the 3' end, to which the tRNAs corresponding amino acid is attached (by aminoacyl-tRNA synthetases). tRNAs cope with the degeneracy of the genetic code in two manners: having more than one tRNA (with a specific anti-codon) for a particular amino acid; and 'wobble' base-pairing, i.e. permitting non-standard base-pairing at the 3rd anti-codon position. Lineage: Eukaryota; Metazoa; Chordata; Mammalia; Artiodactyla; Camelidae. RNAcentral also lists the same sequence under 2 other names. The record is from Rfam by way of RNAcentral.
GAGGAUAUAGCUUAAGUGGUAGAGCACAUGCUUAGCAUGCAUGAGGUCCUGGGUUCAAUCCUCAGUACCUACC